Molecule: ribosomal RNA, 1070 nt
Filed under: uncultured bacterium
Lineage: Bacteria
Description: bacterial SSU rRNA
Rfam family: Bacterial small subunit ribosomal RNA
Source: RNAcentral
UAGAGUUUGAUCCUGGCUCAGGAUGAACGCUAGCUACAGGCCUAACACAUGCAAGUCGUGGGGAAACGAUUGGGGAGCUUGCUCCCCAAGGCGUCGACCGGCGCACGGGUGAGUAACGCGUAUCCAACCUGCCCAUGAGUGGGGAAUAACCCGUGGAAACGCGGCCUAAUGCCCCAUGUUGCGCGAAGCGGACAUCUAACUCGCGCCAAAGGUUCGCCGCUCAUGGAUGGGGAUGCGUCCGAUUAGGCAGCAGGCGGGGCGACGGCCCACCUGGCCGACGAUCGGUAGGGGUUCUGAGAGGAAGGCCCCCCACAUUGGGACUGAGACACGGCCCAAACUCCUACGGGAGGCAGCAGUGAGGGAUAUUGGUCAAUGGCCGUAAGGCUGAACCAGCCAAGUAGCGUGCAGGAUGACGGCCCUAUGGGUUGCAGACUGCUUUUGCGCGGGGAUAACUGGCGGCACGCGUGCCGCCUUGCAGGUACCGCGCGAAUAAGGACCGGCUAAUUCCGUGCCAGCAGCCGCGGUAAUACGGAAGGUCCCGGUGUUAUCCGGAUUCAUUGGGUUUAAAGGGAGCGCAGGCCGCCCGUCAAGCGUGUUGUGAAAUGCAGUCGCCCAACGGCUGAGCUGCAGCGCGAACUGGCGGGCUUGAGUGCGCGCAACGCCGGCGGAACUCGCCGUGUAGCGGUGAAAUGCUUAGAUAUGGCGAAGAACCCCGAUUGCGAAGGCAGCCGGCGGGCGCGCUACUGACGCUCAUGCUCGAAAGCGCGGGUAUCGAACAGGAUUAGAUACCCUGGUAGUCCGCGCGGUAAACGAUGGAUGCCCGCCCUCCGGGCGAUUGAGUUUGGGGGGCCAAGCGAAAGCGUUAAGCAUCCCACCUGGGGAGUACGCCGGCAACGGUGAAACUCAAAGGAAUUGACGGGGGCCCGCACAAGCGGAGGAACAUGUGGUUUAAUUCGAUGAUACGCGAGGAACCUUACCCGGGCUUGAAUUGCAGAAGACGGAUCCAGAGAUGGUGACUCCCUUCGGGGCUUCUGUGAAGGUGCUGCAUGGUUGUCGUCAGCUCGUGCCGU